RNAcentral lists this ribosomal RNA (200 nucleotides) under uncultured bacterium. Its description in RNAcentral is "partial 16S ribosomal RNA". It matches the Rfam family "Bacterial small subunit ribosomal RNA", at positions 8 to 217 of the family's 1533-position model. The record is from RNAcentral.
AGAGUUUGAUCCUGGCUCAGGAUGAACGCUGGCGGCGUGCCUAAUACAUGCAAGUCGAGCGAGCCCCUUCGGGGCUAGCGGCGGACGGGUGAGUAACACGUGGGUAACCUGCCUAUAAGACUGGGAUAACUUCGGGAAACCGGAGCUAAUACCGGAUGACACUUUGGAACUCCUGUUCCUUAGUUGAAAGAUGGCUUCGG